Non-coding RNA from Phrynosoma platyrhinos (Desert horned lizard), 70 nucleotides. Lineage: Eukaryota; Metazoa; Chordata; Lepidosauria; Squamata; Phrynosomatidae. The record is from the annotation of a GenBank genome assembly.
GAGUGUGGUGUAGUGGUUUGAGUGUCAGACUGCAACUCUGGAGACCCGGGUUCGACUCCCUGCUCGGCCA